Molecule: long non-coding RNA, 2397 nt
Filed under: Bos indicus x Bos taurus (hybrid cattle)
Lineage: Eukaryota; Metazoa; Chordata; Mammalia; Artiodactyla; Bovidae
Description: lncRNA (ENSBIXG00000029714.1)
Source: RNAcentral
CAGGGCCAGACGGAGAUGGACAACCAGUCAUCCUAAAGGAGAUCAGUCCUGAGUGUUCAUUGGAAGGACUGAUGCUGAAACUCCAGUACUUUGGCCACCUGAUGCGAAGAGCUGACUCAUCGGAAAAGACCCUGAUGCUGGGAAAGAUUGAGGGCAGGAGGAGAAGGGGACAAUAGAGGAUGAGAUGGUUGGAUGGCAUCAUCGACUCAAUGGACAUGAGUUUUAAGUAAACUCCGGGAGUUGGUGAUGGACAUGGAUGGAGGCCGGACACGACUGAGCGGCUGAACUGAACUGAGCUGGACUGACCCGGGCCGGCAGGCGUCGGGGCGGGGGCCGCGAGUGCGCCGCUCUUCGAAGAUCCUCCGUGGCGUCUUUCCCUGGGUUUCCGCCGUAUCUGUGAGGGGAGCUUGCGAGAUGGUGCAGUCAGUGACGACCCCAGGGACUCACAAAGCAGCAUCUGUCUCGCUCUGGCAACGUGUCACUGCAAGUUGGCCCGAGGCCCCUGCUGCUGAAGCCACGUGGGGACCAAGGGCUGUGUAGAAGUGAACACAGGAUGUUCACAUCUGUGAAGGCAACAGAAACGUCAUUCCAAAUUGCAAUGGAGACAGAGAGCAUCCGGUCGGGCGGAUUCUUUACCAAGCUGAGUCACCAGGGAAGCCGGAAGAAGGACCAGCUGGUCUGUUUAUCAGUGACAGAAGACAGGAGGAGGAGAGAACCGUUUCUGAGUGAGGCAAUCAAAUCUGUCUUGGUCGCUUCAUGGCCGGAAGGCCCUUGGAUAGCAAGCCUGGAGUGUGGGAAAUGCUGUCUCCUCACAGGAUGGAUGCCGUCAGAAGACUGAGGAUUCAGCUGUGGACCUAUUUCAGGGUAAAGAAAGGACAGUCUAAUGAGAAAACUUGUGAACUGACUAGCGGUGUUGGAGGUGCCAGGGAUAACAGACGUUUCCGGUCCCUUUGACACCAUUCCUGGGUACUGGUAAGACACUGUACGAGUGGAUAAAACUUGCCCGUGGACAACAGGUGGCUUCAGAGGACGAGCUACUUCAUGAGUUAAAUGUGGUUGCAUCACAAGCUUGCUGAAAAGGAGUAUGUUUCUAGUCUCCACUCUGAAAUCUUGGCCUGCCAUUCUUGGGCUUCGUCCACUGCAUUUUAGUACCACCGUGCCCCAGGCUGUGUGUUUAUGGAAUGGAAAUUGCACACUCGUAGGUCUUAUUCUCUGAGUACAACUGAGCGACUAAGCACAGGGUGCUUGGCCGUGCCUUGGACAUAAAGUUAAUUUUUCUUGCUUGUGGUUGGGUCAGAGGGGAGACUUCGUCUCGGUGGUGAGGCGUGAUCCUCUAUGGACAACCACUGAGCCCCCUUUCUGCUCAUCUGAGUAGUAUUGUCAGACUAUUUUUUUUACUCUAUUACUCUAAACUUUUUAAAUGAAAACAGAUGUAUUUUUUUUUUAGUACUUGUGAUCUUUUUUUUUUUUUUACAGCAUGUUUACUUGAGCAUAACCAGAACCAUGCAGUAGGGUGAUCACCCACAGUUUGCAUAAAGAUAACCUAACCACAGACCAGUUAGCACGUGAGGAAGAAGAAACAGCAGCAGGCCGCCUGCCGCCUGGGGCCGUGUGGAUAUUGAGGUACCCGGAAGGUCCCACACACGUGGCUGUGGGAGUCUCAGCCCCAGUGUGUCCCCAGGGUCUUCUCUUUGGGACCCUUUUCUCCUCCUAGCUGCUUUUCUCCUUCUCCAUGCAGGGUCUAGCCUGUAUGUUUCCUGUUGGCCAGGGUUCUUCUCAGAGAGGGACGUGGUGGAGGUGGGACUCAGAUUGAAGAUCUUCUCAUUUUCCCCACGUCUUCUCACUUUGCCAACAAAGCUCUAUAAAGUCAAAGCUAUGGUUUUUCCACUCGUCACAUACGGAUGUGAGAGUUGGACCACAAAGAAGGCUGAAGAAUGGAUGCUUUCGAACUAUGGUGCUGGAGAAGACUCUUGAGAAUCCCUUGGACUGCGAGGAGAUCCAACCAGUCCAUCCUAAAGAAAAUCAGUCCUGAACACUUGUUGGAAGGACUGAUGUUGAAGCUGAAACUCCAAUCCUUUGGCCACCUGAUGCGAAGAGCUGACUCAUUGGAAAAGACCCUGAUGCUGGAAAAGAUUGAGGGCAGGAGGAGAAGGGGAUGACAGAGGGUGAGAUGGUUGGAUGGCAUCACCAACUCGAAGGACAUGAGUUUGAGCAAGCUCUGGGAAUUGGUGAUGGACAGGGAGACCUGGCAUGCUGCAGUCCAUGGGGUCACAAAGAGUCGGACACAACUUAGCCACUGAACAACAGCAAUGUUUUUUCCGGAACUCUUGCAGAGUCCAAACUAGCUCUGUUCACUGCACAACAAGCCAAUAAAAUGUAGGACGAGGUGUUGAAGCA